GUGAAUCAUCAAAUUUUUGAACGCAAAUUGCACUCUCUUCGGAGAGUAUGACCGUUUGAGGGUCAGCAUAAAAAAAAUCGACGAAGUCGUUGUUUCGCGGUGAUAUUCGUCGGAAAGUGGGUCAUCUUAAACCUUUGGGUUUUUUAAGCGGCUUAAAAUCUUCUUUAUGAUUCUACGAACGUUCUUAAGUUUUACUUCUUACGCUUACGGAUUCGUUUUUUAUUAGAGGAGUCCGUAGCAUCGGGUUAUGUCUAUAAA
This 258-nucleotide unclassified non-coding RNA is filed under the name Glomus sp. Its description in RNAcentral is "partial contains 5.8S ribosomal RNA and internal transcribed spacer 2". The stretch from base 1 to 65 matches the Rfam family "5.8S ribosomal RNA", at positions 84 to 154 of the family's 154-position model. Lineage: Eukaryota; Fungi; Glomeromycota; Glomeromycetes; Glomerales; Glomeraceae. The record is from RNAcentral.